AUGCCCAAUACCAAGUUGAGCUUUUCCUGUAUAGCUACUGCAGCUGUUGUCAUCCUAACCCUAGGCAGUAGAACCAGUAGUUGCUUGCAAUUUACUUAUCCCAACUUCAACACAAUCAAUAGGGAUGAUUUCAGUUUCAGCCCAGGCUCAACAAUUGCAGACGGUGCCUUGCAGAUCACACCAAGUACCGGAAACAUGCGCCACCGGUCGGGGAGAGUGUUCUAUGCAAGGGAAACCAUCAAGCUGUGGAACAAAAAGCUCAUGAUGCCCACAUCGUUCAGGACAGAUUUCCUGCUCAGCAUCCUCCCCGGUCAGAAUGGGGCUGGAGAAGGUAUGGCAUUUGUGCUCACAAACAAUCCAUCAUUGCCUAGCAACAGUAGUGGCCAGUGGCUUGGCAUAUGCAAUGACACGGCAGAUGGCACGAAGACGGACCCAGUUGUUGCUGUCGAGUUUGACACGAGGAAGAGCUAUGAGGAUGACCUUGACGGCAACCAUAUCGGCAUCAACAUCAACAACGUCAAAUCUAUUCGGUAA
This 534-nucleotide ribosomal RNA is filed under the name Triticum aestivum (bread wheat). Its description in RNAcentral is "partial small subunit ribosomal RNA". Lineage: Eukaryota; Viridiplantae; Streptophyta; Magnoliopsida; Poales; Poaceae. The record is from RNAcentral.